GCACAUCUUGCCCCAAUUUAGACAGAUCAACAUGGCAUAUGAAAAGCAGCUUCAUUUACUGUCCUUGACAUAACUAACCAUACAUUUGCAGGAACACUUCUUCCUACCUAGACUUAUUAUUUUUUCAGAAUCUUAAUAGAUGGGCUUUGUGUUUAUGAAUUUGUAAUGCUGCUUACCAUAUAUUUUAAGUCAAAGUGGAUCAUUCUGUUGAGGAUUCUCUACCUUCUUCUUUUCAUUUUUUACAAAAGAGCAGAUGCUUCGAGUGACUUGCAGCGAGAUGUACAACCAAGUUGUUUCUGUUGGAGGACAUGGGGAGCUUGUUGCCUGAGAGCAGCUCACAUUUCUGGUUCAGACUUACCACAGCAUUUAUGAUUUGAAGUGACCUUGGUGUGUCUUACAACACUCAAUAUCGGGAGGCUUUAUAAAACUCAUAUCUCAGAAGUGUCUGACAUUACAUUACAAGAGGAUCUGUAAACCUCUGUGAGAUGACGAAUGUCUUUUUUAAACAACAGACCAAGACUUCAUUUAAAUUAGUAACGUGAAGAUUAGAGGAGCUCUCACAGGCUGUGCUGCAGCCAUGCCAGGACUCUAGGAAUAUCAGUCACAUGAAAGCUGUUAAGUUUGAGAUGGAAAUAAAUCAAGGAGCCUGUAAAAACUGUCAGCAGGUCAGGGAAGUUUAUGAACUCUUGCUGUAUCUAAUCAUAAAUCAUAAGAAUAAGCUAAAACUGAGAAGAAAAAUGUCCUCUUUUGUAAUCUAAUGCUGUCUGUUAAGGCAAUAAAACUCAAAUGAAAUGCAU
RNAcentral lists this long non-coding RNA (797 nucleotides) under Meleagris gallopavo (turkey). Its description in RNAcentral is "lncRNA (ENSMGAG00000018084.1)". The record is from RNAcentral. Lineage: Eukaryota; Metazoa; Chordata; Aves; Galliformes; Phasianidae.